RNAcentral lists this ribosomal RNA (552 nucleotides) under Bacillus sp. 611. RNAcentral describes it as "bacterial SSU rRNA". It matches the Rfam family "Bacterial small subunit ribosomal RNA", at positions 910 to 1460 of the family's 1533-position model. Lineage: Bacteria; Bacillati; Bacillota; Bacilli; Caryophanales; Bacillaceae. The record is from RNAcentral.
UUGACGGGGGCCCGCACAAGCGGUGGAGCAUGUGGUUUAAUUGAAGCAACGCGAAGAACCUUACCAGGUCUUGACAUCCUUGACACUCCUAGAGAUAGGACGUUCCCCUUCGGGGGACAGAGUGACAGGUGGUGCAUGGUUGUCGUCAGCUCGUGUCGUGAGAUGUUGGGUUAAGUCCCGCAACGAGCGCAACCUUUGAUCUUAGUUGCCAGCAUUCAGUUGGGCACUCUAAGGUGACUGCCGGUGACAAACCGGAGGAAGGUGGGGAUGACGUCAAAUCAUCAUGCCCCUUAUGACGUGGGCUACACACGUGCUACAAUGGAUGGUACAAAUGGCAGCAAAACCGCGAGGUCGAGCAAAUCCCAUAAAACCAUUCUCAGUUCGGAUUGUAGGCUGCAACUCGCGUACAUGAAGUCUGGAAUCGCUAGUAAUCGCGGAUCAGCAUGCCGCGGUGAAUACGUUCCCGGGCCUUGUACACACCGCCCGUCACACCAUGAGAGUUUGUAACACCCGAAGUCGGUGGGGUAACCUUUUGGAGGCCAGGCCGACCUA